This 389-nucleotide ribosomal RNA is filed under the name uncultured bacterium. Its description in RNAcentral is "bacterial SSU rRNA". It matches the Rfam family "Bacterial small subunit ribosomal RNA", at positions 28 to 417 of the family's 1533-position model. The record is from RNAcentral.
GACGAACGCUGGCGGCGUGCUUAACACAUGCAAGUCGAGCGGUAAGGCCCUUUCGGGGGUACGACGAGCGGCGAACGGGUGAGUAACACGUGGGUGACCUGCCUUUAGCUCUGGGGUAAGGCCUGGGAAACUGGGUCUAAUACCGGAUAUGACUCCAUGACGCAUGUUGUGGGGUGGAAAGCCUUGUGCGGCUAGGGAUGGGCCUGCGGCCUAUCAGCUUGUUGGUGGGGCGAUGGCCUACCAAGGCGACGACGGGUAGCCGGCCUGAGAGGGCGACCGGCCACACUGGGACUGAGACACGGCCCAGACUCCUACGGGAGGCAGCAGUGGGGAAUCUUGCGCAAUGGGCGAAAGCCUGACGCAGCGACGCCGCGUGGGGAUGACGGCCU